CGUAGGGUGCGAGCGUUAAUCGGAAUUACUGGGCGUAAAGCGUGCGCAGGCGGUUUUGUAAGACAAAUGUGAAAUCCCCGGGCUCAACCUGGGACCUGCAUUUGUGACUGCAAGGCUAGAGUACGGUAGAGGGGGAUGGAAUUCCGCGUGUAGCAGUGAAAUGCGUAGAUAUGCGGAGGAACACCGAUGGCGAAGGCAAUCCCCUGGACCUGUACUGACGCUCAUGCACGAAAGCGUGGGGAGCAAACAGGAUUAGAUACCCUGGUAGUCCACGCCCUAAACGAUGUCAACUGGUUGUUGGGUCUUUACUGACUCAGUAACGAAGCUAACGCGUGAAGUUGACCGCCUGGGGAGUACGGCCGCAAGGUUG
RNAcentral lists this ribosomal RNA (370 nucleotides) under uncultured organism. Its description in RNAcentral is "bacterial SSU rRNA". It matches the Rfam family "Bacterial small subunit ribosomal RNA", at positions 526 to 896 of the family's 1533-position model. The record is from RNAcentral.